AUACGUAGGGGGCGAGCGUUGUCCGGAAUGACUGGGCGUAAAGGGCGUGUAGGCGGCGGUGUAAGUCUGGAGUGAAAGUCCCGCAUUCAAUGUGGGAAUUGCUUUGGAUACUGCAGUGCUAGAGUGCGGAAGAGGUAAGUGGAAUUCCCAGUGUAGCGGCGAAAUGCGUAGAGAUUGGGAGGAACACCAGUGGCGAAGGCGACUUACUGGGCCGUAACUGACGCUGAGGCGCGAAAGCGUGGGGAGCGAACAGGAUUAGAUACCCUGGUAGUCCACGCGGUAAACGAUGAAUGCUAGGUGUUGCGGGUAUCGACCCCUGCAGUGCCGGAGUAAACACAAUAAGCAUUCCGCCUGGGGAGUACGGCCGCAAGGUUGAAACUCAAAUGAAUUGGCGGGG
Molecule: ribosomal RNA, 397 nt
Filed under: uncultured bacterium
Lineage: Bacteria
Description: partial 16S ribosomal RNA
Rfam family: Bacterial small subunit ribosomal RNA
Source: RNAcentral